CAGUCGCCGCGGGAAUACGUAGGGUGCAAGCGUUAAUCGGAAUUACUGGGCGUAAAGCGUGCGCAGGCGGUUUUGUAAGACAGAGGUGAAAUCCCCGGGCUCAACCUGGGAACUGCCUUUGUGACUGCAAGGCUAGAGUACGGCAGAGGGGGAUGGAAUUCCGCGUGUAGCAGUGAAAUGCGUAGAUAUGCGGAGGAACACCGAUGGCGAAGGCAAUCCCCUGGGCCUGUACUGACGCUCAUGCACGAAAGCGUGGGGAGCAAACAGGAUUAGAUACCCCGGUAGUCCCUGUCUCUUAUAA
Molecule: ribosomal RNA, 301 nt
Filed under: uncultured bacterium
Lineage: Bacteria
Description: partial 16S ribosomal RNA
Rfam family: Bacterial small subunit ribosomal RNA
Source: RNAcentral